Molecule: transfer-messenger RNA, 398 nt
Filed under: Mycoplasmataceae bacterium
Lineage: Bacteria; Bacillati; Mycoplasmatota; Mollicutes; Mycoplasmatales; Mycoplasmataceae
Rfam family: transfer-messenger RNA
About the family: Bacterial tmRNA, also known as 10Sa RNA or SsrA, is named for its dual tRNA and mRNA-like properties. Its role is to liberate the mRNA from a stalled ribosome. To accomplish this part of the tmRNA is used as a reading frame that ends in a translation stop signal.
Source: RNAcentral
GGGGAUGUAACGGCUUCGACAUGAUUACUAUCUUCCUAAAUGCAGUAGGGUUUGCCCUUUAUAGCUCGAGGAUUAUUGCAUGACAAUAACCAAAACGAUACUGUACAAUUAGAUAACUUCGAAAUUGCACAACUAUCAAGACAAUCUCAACUUAACUACGCGUUUGUAGCUUAAGCAAUUGUCUAUAAGCGUUAAAAGUUUUCUUACUUUACUUUAACGCGUUAAAUAAAGUGAUAUAUUGUGUCAAUGCUAAUAGAUGCAAUGAAACCAAUUAGCUAUAUUAGAUGGGGUUGUCAUAUUACCAUUCUAUCUAACGAAUUGUUAAAAAUAUGACUAAACUGUAGUAUUUAGCAAGAGAAUAAUUUUGGAAAGGAGUUCGACUCUCCUCAUCUCCACCA